This 170-nucleotide ribosomal RNA is filed under the name uncultured bacterium. RNAcentral describes it as "partial 16S ribosomal RNA". It matches the Rfam family "Bacterial small subunit ribosomal RNA", at positions 338 to 524 of the family's 1533-position model. The record is from RNAcentral.
CCUACGGGAGGCCGCAGUGGGGAAUCUUGCACUAAUGGAGGAAACUCUGAUGCAGCGAUGCCGCGUGAGUGAAGAAGGCCUUUGGGUUGUAAAGCUCUUUCGUCGGGGAAGAAAAUGACUGUACCCGAAUAAGAAGGUCCGGCUAACUUCGUGCCAGCAGCCGCGGUAAU